CCUACGGGCGGCAGCAGUGAGGAAUAUUGGUCAAUGGGCGCGAGCCUGAAGCAGCCAAGUCGCGUGAAGGAUGAAUGCCCUACGGGUGGUAACCUUCUUUUAUAGAGGAAUAAAGUGAGGGACGUGUGCCUUUUUGUCUGUGCUUUAUGAAUAAGGAUCGGCUAACUCCGUGCAAGCGGCCGAGGUAUUACGGAGGAUCCAGGUGUUAUCCGGAUUUGUUGGGUGAAAGGGAAACGUAGGUGGUGUGUUAAUGCAGUGGUGAAAGUUUGCGGCUCAACCGUAGAUUGCUAUUUAUACUGGCAGUCUUGAGUACAGGUGAGGUAGGCGGAAUUCGUGGUGUAGCGGUGAAAUGCUUAGAUAUCACGAAGAACUCCGAUUGCGAAGGCAGCUUACUAAACUGCCACUGACAUUGAUGCUCGAAAGUGUGGGUAUCAAACAGGAUUAGAUACCCGUGUAGUC
RNAcentral lists this ribosomal RNA (459 nucleotides) under uncultured bacterium. RNAcentral describes it as "partial 16S ribosomal RNA". It matches the Rfam family "Bacterial small subunit ribosomal RNA", at positions 338 to 795 of the family's 1533-position model. The record is from RNAcentral.